AGCAAAAUAAAAUGAGAAUAAAAAUAUAAUCAAACAACUAUAUAGACAAUGCUAAGGUCUUAGUUCUUUCCCUUACCCUUUUUUUGGUUAUUCAAUAUGUCAUGAUAGAUUUGCAUAUUAAUUUUGUGCAGUUUUUAGGUUGCUUGUGGUGGAAAUGGUGAUAGUAUUGUUUCUACAACCAUAUUUUUGGCUUCUAUGUGGUUGCAAAUGCAAGAAAACAAGGCAUUCUUCAGUACUUUUGAGCUAGUCUAGCCUUGUCUGAAAGGGUAUGAAAUCUAUAGGACAAAAAAGCUAAGGCCUUACCAGAUUUUGGGAAUGAAGAGUAUCAACACUUGGUGUGUGUAUGUGUGUUCAACUUGCUCAUAUAGGCAAAGAAGGAGUUGCUGUCAAGAGCUUGUUCCCCUUGGUUUUGUGCACUUGUAUUUUCUAAGGAAUUUUAGGUUUUUUUUAAA
This is a long non-coding RNA of Prosopis cineraria, 452 nucleotides long. RefSeq lists it as uncharacterized. NCBI's taxonomy places the organism in Eukaryota, Viridiplantae, Streptophyta, Magnoliopsida, Fabales, Fabaceae. The transcript has 3 exons. The record is from RefSeq and is a predicted model, not a curated record.